This 1290-nucleotide ribosomal RNA is filed under the name Nematoda environmental sample. Its description in RNAcentral is "SSU rRNA". It matches the Rfam family "Eukaryotic small subunit ribosomal RNA", at positions 39 to 1340 of the family's 1831-position model. Lineage: Eukaryota; Metazoa; Nematoda. The record is from RNAcentral.
AAAGAUUAAGCCAUGCAUGUCUCAGUAUGAACUAUCUAUUGUGAAACCGCGAAUGGCUCAUUACAACAGCCAUAGUUUACUGGAUAUAUUCCAUUACAUGGAUAACUGUGGUAAUUCUACAGCUAAUACACGCAUCAAAACCCUGACUUCGGAAAGGGUGCGUUAGUUACUUCAAACUGACUAGACUUCGGUCUGGCUCCAAGUGAAAUUGAACUAUUUAGCUGAUCGCACGGUCUAAGCACCGGCGACAUAUCCUUCAAAUGUCUGCCUUAUCAACUGUCGAUGGUAGAUUAUGCGCCUACCAUGGUUGUAACGGGUAACGGAGAAUCAGGGUUUGAUUCCGGAGAGGGAGCCUGAGAAAUGGCUACCACAUCCAAGGAAGGCAGCAGGCACGCAAAUUACCCACUCCCGGCACGGGGAGGUAGUGACGAAAAAUAACAAGCUGGUCUCUUUGAGUUCCGGCAUUGUAAUGGGAACAACUUAAAUCAUUUAUCGAGGAUCUAUUGGAGGGCAAGUCUGGUGCCAGCAGCCGCGGUAAUUCCAGCUCCAAUAGCGUAUAUUAAAGUUGUUGCGGUUAAAAAGCUCGUAGUUGGAUCUACGAUCAAGGCUUGUGGUCGUCCUUCUCGGAUGUACUGCUUAGUCUGGUCGAAUUAUCUGGUGAACGAUUGAUGCUCUUCACUGAGUGUCUCUAGUUGCUGGAACGUUUACCUUGAAAAAAUUGAAGUGCUCAAAGCAGGCUUACGCCUGAACAUUGUUGCAUGGGAUAAUCGAAUAGGACUUCGGUUCUAUUUUGUUGGUUUCGGAACGCGAAGUAAUGAUUAAUAGGGACAGACGGGGGCAUUCGUAUUGCUGCGUUAGAGGUGAAAUUCUUGGAUCGUAGCAAGACGACCUACUGCGAAAGCAUUUGCCAAGAAUGUUUUCAUUAAUCAAGAACGAAAGUUAGAGGUUCGAAGGCGAUCAGAUACCGCCCUAGUUCUAACCGUAAACGAUGUUAACUAGCGACUCGCAGGCGUUACUUUAACGGCCCUGCGAGGAGCUCCCGGGAAACCUAAGUGUUCGAAUUCCGGGGGAAGUAUGGUUGCAAAGCUGAAACUUAAAGGAAUUGACGGAAGGGCACCACCAGGAGUGGAGCUUGCGGCUUAAUUUGACUCAACGCGGGGAAACUCACUUGGUCAGGACACUGUAAGGAUUGACAGAUUGAAAGCUCUUUCUUGAUUCGGUGGAUGGUGGUGCAUGGCCGUUCUUAGUUGGUGGAGUGAUUUGUCUGGUUAAUUCCGAUAACGAGCGAGA